Phragmites australis (common reed) is the source of this 1111-nucleotide long non-coding RNA. RefSeq lists it as uncharacterized. The transcript is spliced from 2 exons. The record is from RefSeq and is a predicted model, not a curated record. Lineage: Eukaryota; Viridiplantae; Streptophyta; Magnoliopsida; Poales; Poaceae.
UCUGGAGCAAAAAAGACAGAACAAUUUACUACCCGGUUAUUUCCAGAAAAGUGUGAAAAGGAUUAAUCGAUACACUAUUAAAACGGGUGAAUAUCCUAAAAUGCAUAGGAAAUUAAUCAUGAAUCCAGUCUUAUUAGUCUUCUAGCAAUCUGAGCUAACUAGGGUAAAACACUGUACCUACUCUCAUGACAAAGCAGUUUAACAUGCCUUUAGAUGGUUAUGAUCCAUUAAAGCUUGUUUAUACUAGAAAAUUCAAUAAGAAUCCAUAUUAAGUAAUUCUCAAUGCAACGCAAUCAUGACAUGUGCCUCUGCAUCUCCUUUGAAUGUCCUGCAUUGGGGAGCAUUUCUUAUCGCAUCGCAUCAUGUUAAUUGCGAUACAUAUUUCAUUUUUUUACUAACGAAGAACCGAAGAGUGACGCAAGUAUCGAUGUUAAAUCUGAGCUCGAGAUUGAUUUUGAAGCAUCUGAGCAUCAAGGUUUGGGAAAUUCCGAAAUAUGCAGGAAGUAUCGAGGUUAAAUCUGCUGUUAUGUUAUUGGUUCCUUCAUGAUUCAUGCGAUUCUGAUGUGAUGUUUCAUGUUUUUUAUUCCUGUCUUCGUGAUGAACCUUUCAUAUCGUGUGAUGGUAUGGUUUGCUUGUUAUUGGUUGUGCUUUUUUAUCAUUUCUAAUUAUGUUUAUUUGAUAUUCGUAUUUUCUAGUAUUUAUUUAUUGAAGUUUCAUGAAUAUCUUUCUAUCCAAAGAUUUAAGUUUCAAGUUAUUCCUUUGCAUCUCAUUCAAGUGUCAGUGAUACCGGAUGUGUAAUUUGGUUCCUAUAUUCAGAUUCAUGUGAGUGCUGGCUCCACUACUCGGUUUUAUCGGUAAAUGCUAAGGAUAUACUCACGCCUGAACAUAUAACUACUGUUUCAUCGCUAUUUUCAGGUACCGAAUGACCCUGGCAUGCGUGGAAGGGUUAGUAUCUUGUUCAGCACACUUACACCAAAACUUGGUCUUUUCAGUAAUGACAUAGAGUGGUAAUUACCAUGUCUGUUAUAGCGGGUUGCGUUGGUCAAAUGUAUUGAGUUCAAGAGUUGUAUCGGGUCCUAGUUUUAGCUUUGAGUGAAAUUUCAUUUUUGCA